GAUGAAGAACGUAGCGAAAUGCGAUAAGUAAUGUGAAUUGCAGAAUUCAGUGAAUCAUCGAAUCUUUGAACGCACAUUGCGCCCGCCAGUAUUCUGGCGGGCAUGCCUGUUCGAGCGUCAUUUCAACCAUCAAGCCCCCGGCUUGUGUUGGGGACCUGCGGCUGCCGCAGGCCCUGAAAAGCAGUGGCGGGCUCGCUGUCACACCGAGCGUAGUAGCAUACAUCUCGCUCUGGGCGUGCUGCGGGUUCCGGCCGUUAAACCACCUUCAUAACCCAAUGUUGACCUCGGAUCAGGUAGGAAGACCCGCUGAACUUAAGCAUAUCAAUAAGCGGAGGA
This 336-nucleotide unclassified non-coding RNA is filed under the name soil metagenome. RNAcentral describes it as "partial contains 5.8S ribosomal RNA, internal transcribed spacer 2, and large subunit ribosomal RNA". The stretch from base 1 to 120 matches the Rfam family "5.8S ribosomal RNA", at positions 35 to 154 of the family's 154-position model. The record is from RNAcentral.